GUGGAUUAGAUACCCUAGUAGUCCACGCCGUAAACGGUGGGUACUAGGUGUGGGGGACAUUCCACGUUCUCCGUGCCGCAGCUAACGCAUUAAGUACCCCGCCUGGGGAGUACGGCCGCAAGGCUAAAACUCAAAGGAAUUGACGGGGCCCCGCACAAGCGGCGGAGCAUGCGGAUUAAUUCGAUGCAACGCGAAGAACCUUACCUGGGUUUGACAUAUGCCGGAAACAUCUAGAGAUAGGUGCCCCUUUUUGGUCGGUAUACAGGUGGUGCACGGCCGUCGCCAGCU
RNAcentral lists this ribosomal RNA (288 nucleotides) under uncultured bacterium. Its description in RNAcentral is "partial 16S ribosomal RNA". It matches the Rfam family "Bacterial small subunit ribosomal RNA", at positions 773 to 1060 of the family's 1533-position model. The record is from RNAcentral.